Clupea harengus (Atlantic herring) is the source of this 721-nucleotide long non-coding RNA. Lineage: Eukaryota; Metazoa; Chordata; Actinopteri; Clupeiformes; Clupeidae. The record is from Ensembl.
GGCAGCUCUCAGAGACAAGCCAAAAAGCUUAAAGCAAGAUCGGGGCAGUUUUAGGAGAGGCAGUUUAAGGAGAGGCAGUGUGAUGUAGUGGGGCAGUUUUAGGAAAGGCAGUUUUAGGAGAGGCAGUGUAAUGUAGCGGGGCAGUUUUAGGAGAGGCAGUGUGAUGUAGUGGGGCAGUUAUAGGAGAGGCAGUGUGAUGUAGUGGGGCAGUUUAAGGAGAGGCAGUUUAAGGAGAGGCAGUUUUAGGAGAGGCAGUGUAAUGUAGCGGGGCAGUUUUAGGAGAGGCAGUGUGAUGUAGUGGGGCAGUUAUAGGAGAGGCAGUGUGAUGUAGUGGGGCAGUUUUAGGAGAGGCAGUGUGAUGUAGUGGGGCAGUUUUAGGAAAGGCAGUUUUAGGAGAGGCAGUGUAAUGUAGCGGGGCAGUUUUAGGAGAGGCAGUGUAAUGUAGCGGGGCAGUUUUAGGAGAGGCAGUGUGAUGUAGUGGGGCAGUUAUAGGAGAGGCAGUGUGAUGUAGUGGGGCAGUUUUAGGAGAGGCAGUGUGAUGUAGUGGGGCAGUUAUAGGAGAGGCAGUGUGAUGUAGUGGGGCAGUUUUCGGAGAGGCAGUGUGAUGUAGUGGGGCAGUUAUAGGAGAGGCAGUGUGAUGUAGUGGGGCAGUUUUCGGAGAGGCAGUGUGAUGUAGUGGGGCAGUUUUCGGAGAGGCAGUGUGAUGUAGUGGGGCAGUUUU